UACGUAGGGGGCAAGCGUUGUCCGGAUUUAUUGGGCGUAAAGCGCGUGUAGGCGGCUGGUAGGUCCGCUGUGAAAACUCGAGGCUCAACCUCGAGACGUCGGCGGAAACCAUCCAGCUAGAGUCCGGAAGAGGAGAGUGGAAUUCCUGGUGUAGCGGUGAAAUGCGCAGAUAUCAGGAAGAACACCCGUGGCGAAAGCGGCUCUCUGGGACGGUACUGACGCUGAGACGCGAAAGCGUGGGGAGCGAACAGG
Molecule: ribosomal RNA, 252 nt
Filed under: uncultured bacterium
Lineage: Bacteria
Description: partial 16S ribosomal RNA
Rfam family: Bacterial small subunit ribosomal RNA
Source: RNAcentral